RNAcentral lists this ribosomal RNA (642 nucleotides) under Omalisus fontisbellaquei. RNAcentral describes it as "eukaryotic LSU rRNA". It matches the Rfam family "Eukaryotic large subunit ribosomal RNA", at positions 663 to 1265 of the family's 3401-position model. The record is from RNAcentral. Lineage: Eukaryota; Metazoa; Arthropoda; Insecta; Coleoptera; Omalisidae.
GGACCAAGGAGUCCAGCAUGUGCGCGAGUCAUUGGGAUUCGUUGCUAAACCUAAAGGCGAAAUGAAAGUGAAGGCGCGCCUCGCGCGCGCCAAGGGAGGAUGGGCGCGAUUCCGUCGACAGCCCCGCACUCCCGGGGCGUCUCGUUCUCAUCGCGAGAUGAGGCGCACCCAGAGCGUACACGCUGGGACCCGAAAGAUGGUGAACUAUGCCUGGUCAGGACGAAGUCAGGGGAAACCCUGAUGGAGGUCCGUAGCGAUUCUGACGUGCAAAUCGAUCGUCUGAACUGGGUAUAGGGGCGAAAGACUAAUCGAACCAUCUAGUAGCUGGUUCCCUCCGAAGUUUCCCUCAGGAUAGCUGGCGCUCGUCGUGAGCGAGUCUCAUCCGGUAAAGCGAAUGAUUAGAGGCAUUGGGGUCGAAACGGCCUCAACCUAUUCUCAAACUUUAAAUGGGUGAGAUCUCCGGCUUGCUUAAUGUGAAGCCGCGAGAUCGGUCAGAGUGCCAAGUGGGCCACUUUUGGUAAGCAGAACUGGCGCUGUGGGAUGAACCAAACGCCGAGUUAAAGCGCCUAAAUCGACGCUUAUGGGAUACCAUGAAAGGCGUUGGUAACUUAAAACAGCAGGACGGUGGCCAUGGAAGUCGGA